This 1316-nucleotide ribosomal RNA is filed under the name uncultured bacterium. RNAcentral's name for it is "bacterial SSU rRNA". It matches the Rfam family "Bacterial small subunit ribosomal RNA", at positions 26 to 1315 of the family's 1533-position model. The record is from RNAcentral.
AGAAUCAACGCUGGCGGCGUGCCUCAGACAUGCAAGUCGAACGCGAAAGUCCCUUCGGGGGGCGAGUAGAGUGGCGCACGGGUGAGUAACACGUAGGUAAUCUACCUUUGGAUGGGGAAUAACAACCGGAAACGGUUGCUAAUACCGCAUAAUGCAGCGGCACCUAAUGGUGACAGUUGUUAAAGCGGGGGAUCGCAAGACCUCGCGUCUAAAGAGGAGCCUGCGGCGGAUUAGCUAGUUGGUAAGGUAAUGGCUUACCAAGGCGAUGAUCCGUAGCCGGCCUGAGAGGGCGGUCGGCCACACUGACACUGACAUACGGGUCAGACUCCUACGGGAGGCAGCAGUCGGGAAUUUUGGGCAAUGGGCGAAAGCCUGACCCAGCAACGCCGCGUGAAGGAUGAAAUCCUUCGGGAUGUAAACUUCGCAAGAACGGGAAGAAUAAGCCGGUGUUAACACCACCGGCGAUGACGGUACUGUUUGUAAGCUCCGGCUAACUCCGUGCCAGCAGCCGCGGUAAUACGGGGGGAGCAAGCGUUGUUCGGAUUUACUGGGCGUAAAGGGCGCGUAGGCGGCCACCGCAAGUCGGUUGUGAAAUCUCCGGGCUUAACCCGGAAAGGUCAACUGAUACUGCGGGGCUAGAGUGCAGAAGGGGCAACUGGAAUUCUCGGUGUAGCGGUGAAAUGCGUAGAUAUCGAGAGGAACACCUGCGGCGAAGGCGGGUUGCUGGGCUGACACUGACGCUGAGGCGCGAAAGCUAGGGGAGCGAACGGGAUUAGAUACCCCGGUAGUCCUAGCCUUAAACGAUGAAUGCUUGGUGUCUGGGGUUUUAUAGUCCCCGGGUGCCGUCGCUAACGCUUUAAGCAUUCCGCCUGGGGAGUACGGUCGCAAGACUGAAACUCAAAGGAAUUGACGGGGACCCGCACAAGCGGUGGAGCAUGUGGUUUAAUUCGACGCAACGCGAAGAACCUUACCUGGGCUAGAAUGCCUCUGACCGGCGUAGAGAUACGCCUUCCUGGGUAAAACCAGGCAGAGUGCAAGGUGCUGCAUGGCUGUCGUCAGCUCGUGUCGUGAGAUGUUGGGUUAAGUCCCGCAACGAGCGCAACCCUUAUCAAUAGUUGCCAGCGGUUCGGCCGGGCACUCUAUUGAGACUGCCGUUGACAAAACGGAGGAAGGUGGGGAUGACGUCAAGUCCUCAUGGCCUUUAUGUCCAGGGCUACACACGUGCUACAAUGGCGAGUACAAAGCGCUGCAAACACUGCAAGGGGGAGCCAAUCGCAAAAAGCUCGUCUCAGUUCGGAUUGGAGUCUGCAACUCGA